RNAcentral lists this ribosomal RNA (1014 nucleotides) under uncultured marine bacterium. Its description in RNAcentral is "bacterial SSU rRNA". It matches the Rfam family "Bacterial small subunit ribosomal RNA", at positions 59 to 1117 of the family's 1533-position model. The record is from RNAcentral.
AAGUCGAACGAAGUAGCAAUACUUAGUGGCAGACGGGUGAGUAACAUGUAGGUAUCUGCCCUUUGGCCUGGAAUAACACGAGGAAACUUGUGCUAAUACCGGAUAAGUCUUUACGGAGAAAGCUUUAUGCACCAUUGGAUGAGCCUGCACUUGAUUAGUUUGUUGGUGGGGUAAUGGCCUACCAAGACUGUGAUCAAUAGCUGAUUUGAGAGGAUGAUCAGCCACAUUGGGACUGAGACACGGCCCAAACUCCUACGGGAGGCAGCAGUGGGGAAUCUUGCACAAUGGAGGAAACUCUGAUGCAGCGAUGCCGCGUGAGUGAAGAAGGCCUUUGGGUUGUAAAGCUCUUUCGUCGGGGAAGAAAAUGACUGUACCCGAAUAAGAAGGUCCGGCUAACUUCGUGCCAGCAGCCGCGGUAAUACGAAGGGACCUAGCGUAGUUCGGAAUUACUGGGCUUAAAGAGUUCGUAGGUGGUUGAAAAAGUUGGUGGUGAAAUCCCAGAGCUUAACUCUGGAACUGCCAUCAAAACUUUUCAGCUAGAGUUUGAUAGAGGAAAGCAGAAUUUCUAGUGUAGAGGUGAAAUUCGUAGAUAUUAGAAAGAAUACCAAUUGCGAAGGCAGCUUUCUGGAUCAUUACUGACACUGAGGAACGAAAGCACGGGUAGCGAAGAGGAUUAGAUACCCUCGUAGUCCAUGCCGUAAACGAUGUGUGUUAGACGUUGGAAAUUUAUUCUCAGUGUCGCAGCGAAAGCGAUAAACACACCGCCUGGGGAGUACGACCGCAAGGUUAAAACUCAAAUGAAUUGACGGGGACCCGCACAAGUAGUGGAGCAUGUGGUUUAAUUCGAAGAUACGCGCAGAACCUUACCAACACUUGACAUGUUCGUCGCGACUUUAAGAGAUUAAAGUUUUCGGUUCGGCCGGACGAAACACAGGUGCUGCAUGGCUGUCGUCAGCUCGUGUCGUGAGAUGUUGGGUUAAGUCCCGCAACGAGCGCAACCCUCACUUUUAGUUG